RNAcentral lists this unclassified non-coding RNA (355 nucleotides) under soil metagenome. RNAcentral's name for it is "partial contains 5.8S ribosomal RNA, internal transcribed spacer 2, and large subunit ribosomal RNA". The stretch from base 1 to 120 matches the Rfam family "5.8S ribosomal RNA", at positions 35 to 154 of the family's 154-position model. The record is from RNAcentral.
GAUGAAGAACGCAGUGAAAUGCGAUAAGUAAUGUGAAUUGCAGAAUUCAGUGAAUCAUCGAAUCUUUGAACGCACAUUGCGCCCAUUAGUAUUCUAGUGGGCAUGCCUGUUCGAGCGUCAUUAAGUCCACUUAAGCCUAGCUUAGUGUUGGGAGACUGCUCCAGUGGUGCUACCCUGUAGCUACCCUGCAGCUCCUUAAAGACAGCGGCGGAGUCGUGUUAUCCUCUGAGCUUAGUAAAUCAUUCUAGCUUUCGAGAGUAUCACUUCACCUGCCGUUAAACCACCUAAUUUUUAUGGUUGACCUCGGAUCAGGUAGGAGUACCCGCUGAACUUAAGCAUAUCAAUAAGCGGAGGA